RNAcentral lists this ribosomal RNA (202 nucleotides) under uncultured bacterium. RNAcentral's name for it is "partial 16S ribosomal RNA". It matches the Rfam family "Bacterial small subunit ribosomal RNA", at positions 328 to 539 of the family's 1533-position model. The record is from RNAcentral.
ACGCUCGACACCUACGGGAGGCAGCAGUUGGGAAUAUUGGACAAUGGAGGGAACUCUGAUCCAGUGACGCCGCGUGAAGGAAGAAGGUCUUCGGAUUGUAAACUUAUUUUAUCAGGGAAGAAAGAAAUGACAGUACCUGAAGAAGAAGGACCGGCUAACUACGUGCAAGCAGCCGCGGUAAUCUGAGGCGGGCUGGCAAGGC